AUGAACGCUGGCGGCGUGCCUAAUACAUGCAAGUCGAGCGAACGGACGAGAAGCUUGCUUCUCUGAUGUUAGCGGCGGACGGGUGAGUAACACGUGGAUAACCUACCUAUAAGACUGGGAUAACUUCGGGAAACCGUAGCUAAUACCGGAUAAUAUUUUGAACCGCAUGGUUCAAAAGUGAAAGACGGUCUUGCUGUCACUUAUAGAUGGAUCCGCGCUGCAUUAGCUAGUUGGUAAGGUAACGGCUUACCAAGGCAACGAUGCAUAGCCGACCUGAGAGGGUGAUCGGCCACACUGGAACUGAGACACGGUCCAGACUCCUACGGGAGGCAGCAGUAGGGAAUCUUCCGCAAUGGGCGAAAGCCUGACGGAGCAACGCCGCGUGAGUGAUGAAGGUCUUCGGAUCGUAAAACUCUGUUAUUAGGGAAGAACAUAUGUGUAAGUAACUGUGCACGUCUUGACGGUACCUAAUCAGAAAGCCACGGCUAACUACGUG
RNAcentral lists this ribosomal RNA (496 nucleotides) under uncultured bacterium. RNAcentral's name for it is "partial 16S ribosomal RNA". It matches the Rfam family "Bacterial small subunit ribosomal RNA", at positions 29 to 507 of the family's 1533-position model. The record is from RNAcentral.